GACGAACGCUGGCGGCGUGCUUAACACAUGCAAGUCGAGCGGUAAGGCCCUUCGGGUACACGAGCGGCGAACGGGUGAGUAACACGUGGGUGACCUGCCUCUAGCUCUGGGAUAAGCCUGGGAAACUGGGUCUAAUACCGGAUAUGACUCCACGGCGCAUGUUGUGGGGUGGAAAGCCUUGUGUGGCUAGAGAUGGGCCCGCGGCCUAUCGGCUUGUUGGUGGGGUGAGGCCUACCAAGGCGACGACGGGUAGCCGGCCUGAGAGGGCGACCGGCCACACUGGGACUGAGACACGGCCCAGACUCCUACGGGAGGCAGCAGUGGGGAAUCUUGCGCAAUGGGCGAAAGCCUGACGCAGCGACGCCGCGUGA
Molecule: ribosomal RNA, 371 nt
Filed under: uncultured bacterium
Lineage: Bacteria
Description: bacterial SSU rRNA
Rfam family: Bacterial small subunit ribosomal RNA
Source: RNAcentral